AAUAGAUACCCGGGUAGUCCACGCCGUAAACGACUGAGUGCCUAAGUGUUAAGAGGGUUUCCGCCCUUUAAGGUGCUGCAGCUAACGCAUUAAGCACUCCGCCUGGGGAGUACGGCCGCAAGGCUGAAACUCAAAGGAAUUGACGGGGGCCCGCACAAGCGGUGGAGCAUGUGGUUUAAUUCGAAGCAACGCGAAGAACCUUACCAGGUCUUGACAUCCUCUGCCAACCCUAGAGAUAGGGCGUUCCCCUUCGGGGGACAGAGUGACAGGUGGUGCAUGGUUGUCGUCAGCUCGUGUCGUGAGAUGUUGGGUUAAGUCCCGCAACGAGCGCAACCCUUGAUCUUAGUUGCCAGCAUUCAGUUGGGCACUCUAAGGUGACUGCCGGUGACAAACCGGAGGAAGGUGGGGAUGACGUCAAAUCAUCAUGCCCCUUAUGACCUGGGCUACACACGUGCUACAAUGGAUGGUACAAAGAGCUGCGAACCCGCGAGGGUAAGCCAAUCUCAUAAAGCCAUUCUCAGUUCGGAUUGUAGG
RNAcentral lists this ribosomal RNA (534 nucleotides) under uncultured bacterium. Its description in RNAcentral is "bacterial SSU rRNA". It matches the Rfam family "Bacterial small subunit ribosomal RNA", at positions 777 to 1304 of the family's 1533-position model. The record is from RNAcentral.